GACGAACGCUGGCGGCGUGCUUAACACAUGCAAGUCGAGCGAUGAAGCCGGAGCUUGCUCUGGUGAAUUAGUGGCGAACGGGUGAGUAACACGUGAGUAACCUGCCCUUGACUCUGGGAUAACUGCGGGAAACUGUAGCUAAUACCGGAUACGACCAUCGGAGGCAUCUCCUGGGGGUGGAAAGAAUUUCGGUCAAGGAUGGACUCGCGGCCUAUCAGCUAGUUGGUGAGGUAAAGGCUCACCAAGGCGACGACGGGUAGCCGGCCUGAGAGGGUGACCGGCCACACUGGGACUGAGACACGGCCCAGACUCCUACGGGAGGCAGCAGUGGGGAAUAUUGCACAAUGGGCACAAGCCUGAUGCAGCAACGCCGCGUGAGGGAUGACGGCCUUCGGGUUGUAAACCCCUUUUAGCAGGGAAGAAGCGAAAGUGACGGUACCUGCAGAAAAAGCACCGGCUAACUACGUGCCAGCCGCCGCCGUAA
RNAcentral lists this ribosomal RNA (484 nucleotides) under uncultured bacterium. RNAcentral's name for it is "partial 16S ribosomal RNA". It matches the Rfam family "Bacterial small subunit ribosomal RNA", at positions 28 to 523 of the family's 1533-position model. The record is from RNAcentral.